RNAcentral lists this small RNA (1326 nucleotides) under Pongo abelii (Sumatran orangutan). Its description in RNAcentral is "processed transcript". Lineage: Eukaryota; Metazoa; Chordata; Mammalia; Primates; Hominidae. The record is from RNAcentral.
UCCCUGGACACACAGCCUGAGCAGCUGGCCCUGAGGCCCAAGGAGUUUUUCCGAGCCUAUGGCAUCGAGGUGCUCACUGAGGCUCAGGUAGUCACAGUGGACGUGAGAAAUAAGAAGGUCGUGUUCAAGGAUGGCUUCAAGCUGGAGUACAGCAAGCUGCUGCUGGCACCAGGGAGCAGCCCCAAGACUCUGAGCUGCAAAGGCAAAGAAGUGGAGAAUGUGUUCACCAUCCGGACGCCAGAGGAUGCCAAUCGCGUGGUGAGGCUGGCCCGAGGCCGCAAUGUGGUCAUCGUGGGAGCCGGCUUCCUGGGGAUGGAGGUGGCCGCUUACCUGACGGAGAAGGCCCACUCUGUGUCUGUGGUGGAGCUGGAGGAGACGCCCUUCAGGAGGUUCCUGGGGGAGCGCGUCGGUCGUGCCCUCAUGAAGAUGUUUGAGAACAACCGGGUGAAGUUCUACAUGCAGACAGAGGUGUCGGAGCUGCGGGGCCAGGAGGGAAAGCUGAAGGAGGUUGUGCUGAAAAGCAGCAAGGUCGUGCGGGCUGACGUCUGCGUGGUGGGCAUUGAUGAUGCAGACCAAUGUCCCAGGCGUGUUUGCAGCUGGCGACGCCGUCACCUUCCCCCUUGCCUGGAGGAACAACCGGAAAGUGAACAUUCCACAUUGGCAGAUGGCUCAUGCUCAGGGGCGCGUGGCAGCCCAGAACAUGUUGGCGCAGGAAGCGGAGAUGAGCACUGUGCCCUACCUCUGGACCGCCAUGUUUGGCAAGAGCCUGCGCUACGCGGGCUACGGAGAAGGCUUCGACGACGUCAUCAUCCAGGGGGAUCUGGAGGAGCUGAAGUUUGUGGCUUUUUACACUAAAGGCGACGAGGUGAUCGCCGUGGCCAGCAUGAACUACGAUCCCAUUGUGUCCAAGGUCGCUGAGGUGCUGGCCUCAGGCCGUGCCAUCCGGAAGCGGGAGGUGGAGACUGGCGACAUGUCUUGGCUUACGGGGAAAGGAUCCUGACCUCACAUGCAGUAGACUUGGGCAGGCAAAGGGGGGCACCAGGGGCAGAGGCCAAGCCUUGGGAGCAGGUGCCAAUCUCCAGUCCCAGGAUCCCCCAGGGCAGAACCUGAGCCCUCCUAGUGCUUGCCUUCAGCCACCUGGCUCCCCUCCUGGGAGGCCUCUGCUGGAUCCAGAAGAUGCUCAACCCUCAAGGCCUCUGCUGCCACUGACAGCUGGCACUGGAGGCAGGACAGGCCCUGCCUCUUCUCCCUCUAUUGGGACUGGUCCCCUGAAGAACCCUGCAACAUGUUAGACAUUACCGUAAAAUUAAAACGCACAAAUUUGCA